UGAGUUCGUUAGGUAUUAUCU
RNAcentral lists this microRNA (21 nucleotides) under Drosophila sechellia. RNAcentral's name for it is "dse-miR-983-3p". Its record names the gene dse-miR-983-3p. Lineage: Eukaryota; Metazoa; Arthropoda; Insecta; Diptera; Drosophilidae. The record is from miRBase by way of RNAcentral.